This 833-nucleotide ribosomal RNA is filed under the name uncultured Gammaproteobacteria bacterium. RNAcentral's name for it is "bacterial SSU rRNA". It matches the Rfam family "Bacterial small subunit ribosomal RNA", at positions 8 to 829 of the family's 1533-position model. The record is from RNAcentral. Lineage: Bacteria; Pseudomonadati; Pseudomonadota; Gammaproteobacteria.
AGAGUUUGAUCAUGGCUCAGAUUGAACGCUGGCGGCAGGCCUAACACAUGCAAGUCGAACGGUAGCACAGGAGAGCUUGCUCUCUGGGUGACGAGUGGCGGACGGGUGAGUAAUGCAUGGGGAGCUGCCCGAUCGAGGGGGAUACCAGCUGGAAACGGCUGCUAAUACCGCAUACGCCCUGAGGGGGAAAGGNGGGGACCUUCGGGCCUACCGCGAUUGGAUGCNCCCAUGUGGGAUUAGCUAGUUGGUGAGGUAACGGCUCACCAAGGCGACGAUCUCUAGCUGGUCUGAGAGGAUGACCAGCCACACUGGAACUGAGACACGGUCCAGACUCCUACGGGAGGCAGCAGUGGGGAAUAUUGCACAAUGGGGGAAACCCUGAUGCAGCCAUGCCGCGUGUGUGAAGAAGGCCUUCGGGUUGUAAAGCACUUUCAGUANGGAGGAAGGGAUGAUGNCUAAUACGCAUCAUCAUUGACGUUACCUACAGAAGAAGCACCGGCUAACUCCGUGCCAGCAGCCGCGGUAAUACGGAGGGUGCAAGCGUUAAUCGGAAUAACUGGGCGUAAAGCGCACGCAGGCGGUUAGAUAAGUCAGAUGUGAAAUCCCCGGGCUCAACCUGGGAACUGCAUUUGAAACUGUCUGACUAGAGUCUUGUAGAGGGGGGUAGAAUUUCAGGUGUAGCGGUGAAAUGCGUAGAGAUCUGGAGGAAUACCGGUGGCGAAGGCGGCCCCCUGGACAAAGACUGACGCUCAGGUGCGAAAGCGUGGGGAGCAAACAGGAUUAGAUACCCCUGGUAGUCCACGCUGUAAACGAUGUCGAUUUGGAGUUUGUGC